This 207-nucleotide ribosomal RNA is filed under the name uncultured bacterium. RNAcentral describes it as "partial 16S ribosomal RNA". It matches the Rfam family "Bacterial small subunit ribosomal RNA", at positions 568 to 774 of the family's 1533-position model. The record is from RNAcentral.
CGCGCAGGCGGUUUUGUAAGUCAGAUGUGAAAUCCCGGGGCUCAACCCCGGAAGUGCAUUUGAAACUAUAAGGCUUGAGUAUGGGAGAGGGAAGUGGAAUUCCUGGUGUAGAGGUGAAAUUCGUAGAUAUCAGGAGGAACACCGGUGGCGAAGGCGACUUCCUGGACCAAUACUGACGCUGAGGCGCGAAGGCGUGGGGAGCAAACA